ACGUAGAGUGUAAAGGCAAAAGAGAGCUUGAUUGCAAGACAUACAGGUCGAGCAAGGAUGAAAAUCGGACUUAGUGAUCCGGUGGUUCGGCGUGGAAGGGCCAUCGCUCAACGGAUAAAAGCUACCCGGGGGAUAACAGGCUUAUCUCCCCCAAGAGUCCACAUCGACGGGGAGGUUUGGCACCUCGAUGUCGGCUCAUCACA
RNAcentral lists this ribosomal RNA (203 nucleotides) under Clostridioides difficile. Its description in RNAcentral is "partial 23S ribosomal RNA". It matches the Rfam family "Bacterial large subunit ribosomal RNA", at positions 2342 to 2544 of the family's 2925-position model. Lineage: Bacteria; Bacillati; Bacillota; Clostridia; Peptostreptococcales; Peptostreptococcaceae. The record is from RNAcentral.